ACGGAAGGCAGCAGCUAAGAAUAUUCCGCAAUGGACGAAAGUCUGACGGAGCGACGCCGCGUGGAUGAUGAAGGCCGAAAGGUUGUAAAAUCCUUUUGUAUUGGACGAAUAAGUAUGGCAGGUAAUGGUCAUGCGGUGACGGUACAAUUUGAAUAAGAGGCGGCUAAUUACGUGCCAGCAGCCGCGGUAACACGUAAGCCUCGAGCGUUGUUCGGAAUUAUUGGGCGUAAAGGGCAUGUAGGCGGCCAUCUAAGCUUGAUGUGAAAUUCAGGAGCUCAACUCCUGAACUGCAUUGAGAACUGGAUGACUAGAGUUACUGAAGUGGAAUCAGAAUUCCAGGUGUAGGGGUGAAAUCUGUAGAUAUCUGGAAGAAUACCAAUGGCGAAGGCAGGUUUCAGGCAGAUAACUGACGCUGAGGUGCGAAGGUGCGGGGAGCAAACAGGAUUAGAUACCCUGGUA
Molecule: ribosomal RNA, 459 nt
Filed under: uncultured Treponema sp.
Lineage: Bacteria; Pseudomonadati; Spirochaetota; Spirochaetia; Treponematales; Treponemataceae
Description: partial 16S ribosomal RNA
Rfam family: Bacterial small subunit ribosomal RNA
Source: RNAcentral